GGGGCACUAGCUCAAUGGAUAGAGUACCAGACUUCGAAUCUGUUGGUUCGGGGUUCGAAUCCCCGGUGCCUCGCCA
RNAcentral lists this transfer RNA (76 nucleotides) under Bacillota bacterium. RNAcentral describes it as "tRNA-Arg". It matches the Rfam family "tRNA". From Rfam's summary of the family: Transfer RNA (tRNA) molecules are approximately 80 nucleotides in length. Their secondary structure includes four short double-helical elements and three loops (D, anti-codon, and T loops). Lineage: Bacteria; Bacillati; Bacillota. The record is from RNAcentral.